UCCUCGGCAUUUUAGCCCAGUUGGUAGAGCACAGGGCUCUUAAUCUCAGGGUUCUGGGUUCAAGUCCCACACCGAGCAA
This is a non-coding RNA of Podarcis lilfordi (Lilford's wall lizard), 79 nucleotides long. The record is from the annotation of a GenBank genome assembly. NCBI's taxonomy places the organism in Eukaryota, Metazoa, Chordata, Lepidosauria, Squamata, Lacertidae.